GAUGAAGAACGUAGCGAAAUGCGAUAAGUAAUGCGAAUUGCAGAAUUUCCGUGAGUCAUCGAAUCUUUGAACGCACAUUGCGCCCACUGGUAUUCCGGUGGGCAUGCCUGUCCGAGCGUCAUUAUCCUCCCUCAAACCCCGGGUUUGGUGUUGGACCGAAGUUGUGUGAACAACUGGUCUAAAAAACAAUGACGGCGUCCGUGGGACCCUCGGUGCAACGAGCUUUUAGGAGCACGCGCCGAGUUGCAAGGACCUUCCGGGCCGGUCUCCUUUUACUAUUUUACAAGGUUGACCUCGGAUCAGGUAGGAAUACCCGCUGAACUUAAGCAUAUCAAUAAGCGGAGGA
This 346-nucleotide unclassified non-coding RNA is filed under the name soil metagenome. RNAcentral's name for it is "partial contains 5.8S ribosomal RNA, internal transcribed spacer 2, and large subunit ribosomal RNA". The stretch from base 1 to 121 matches the Rfam family "5.8S ribosomal RNA", at positions 35 to 154 of the family's 154-position model. The record is from RNAcentral.